Molecule: non-coding RNA, 344 nt
Organism: Pocillopora verrucosa
Lineage: Eukaryota; Metazoa; Cnidaria; Anthozoa; Scleractinia; Pocilloporidae
Source: RefSeq, a predicted model, not a curated record
ACUAAGUCAAUGUUUAGCAGCGCAAAGCAGUCCAAACGUCACGAUCUGUAAUUUACAGUUAGAUUCGAUAAUCAAUGAAAACUACAAACCGUGGUGUUCUGCUGUGUUUAACAAGUAUGUGACUCGUUACCAAGACUCAGAUAUUUCUUUAGUUCCGAACGGCUUCGGACUCUUAAUUGUAAAGCCAGACCCUUUAGAAGUUGUCAUACAUAAGAGAAGAAUUAAUUCUCGCUGCCGAUCUUUCACGUCGACAAAAGCGGGAGAAGUGGAAGCUGUAGUAAACGAGAGGGGAAGUUCACUUCGAUUCAGACAAGAAACGGUGAGACAUCUCUGCGCUUUAUUUG